CGGCCAUGGCCCAGCGCUGCCAUGGCGGCGUCGCGGGGAAGUGUGUGGAGCGUCUUCGAGGUGAAAACUUCCACGUCUUCCAUCCGUCGCGACACCCACAGGAAGGACAGGCGCUCCUCCCCCGCCAGGUGCACCAGGACGUGGGUGGAGGAGGUGGUGGGUUCCCGCGUGACAAAGACUAAGAAACAGGCGAAGAAGAAGAACAACCCGAGGCGAAAAUACAGUGAACCAAAGAACAGUGAACGUAGAAUAGUGAUAGUAAGGAUAAAAUUAAUGGACGAAAGAGUGAGUAAAGAGAACAGUGAACGGCAAACAGUGACGGAAUAAGAACAAAAUUGAUUAAAAAAAAGUAUUAGUCCGAGAACAGUGAACGUUAAGCAGUGAACGAAAGAGAGUGAACGUACUGAGUCUAAGAACAGUGAACGAUAAGCAGUGAACGAAAGAGAGUGAACGUAGUGAGUUUAAGAACAGUGAACGAUAAACAGUGACAGUGUAGGAAGAACACUGACCAAAAACAGUGAAAAAAACAUAAGACUAACGACGAACGAAAUGAAACAAAAGAAAAACUGAGAGAAACGGAGAAAUAAAGAGUGGAAGCAAUUUACAGACUUCGGAAAACAACAAAAAAUCGAAAACGCAGAGAAAGUAGUGAUAGAAGAAAACUAAUAAAAGUGGAAUAGAAAAGAGAAGAGAGAAAGAAACGUCUGAAAUAUUACCCCAUGAUUUGACGGUUCGGUAAAAAAAAAGAGGAAAAAUUGAAGAAAAUCGUGGAGAAAAGUUGAGAGGAGAAACGCGACGUAGAAUAACAUUAAAAAGGGGAAAUAAAAGGAAUAGUUGAAGAAAUAUUGAGUAAAACAGAAGAGAGGGAGAGAAACGGACGAAAUAUUACCCAUGAUUUAACAGUACAGCAAAAGAGAGAAAGAAAAAAAUCAAGGAAAUCGGAAAGAAAACACGAAAGGAGAAACACGACGAAUAAAAUAACAGUAAAGAGAGAAGAUAAAAGACAUUGUUAAAGGAAGAGUAAAGGAAAAGAGAGAGAGAAACGGAAAAGAUAGAAGGGAAAAGUGAAGGAAAGCGGGGAGAAAAGUAAAAAAGAGAAACUUGUGCGUUAAAUAACAAUAAAAAUAGGAGAUAAAAGGAAUAGCUGAAGGAACAGAGAGCAAAACAGAGGAGAGACAGAAACGGACGAAGUAUUACCCCAUGACUUGACAAUGCAGUAAAAGAGAGAGAGAGGAAAAGAAGUGAAGGAAACGAGAAAGAAAAGUUAAACAGAGAAACGGCGCUUAAAACAACAGUAAAAAGAGGAAAAAAAGGAACAGAUAAAAGAACAGAGAGUAAAACGGAAAAGAGAGAAAAGCGAAAAGAGAAAAAGUGAAGGAAAUCGGAAAGGAAAGUUAGGAGCGAGAACGUGACGCAUAAGAUUACCGUAAAAACAGGAGAUAAAAAGAAUAGAUAAAGAUAGAGUAACAUAGAAGAGAGAGAAAAACGAAAAGAAAAAGAAAAGCCAAACAGCGAAAAAGAGAAAAAGUGAAGGAAAGCGAAAAGGAAAGUUAAGAGCAAGAACGUGACGCAUAAGAUUACCGUAAAAGGGAAAAUAAAGGAACAUCUGAGUCUGGGCUAAGGAAACAGAGCCGCGUGGAUACUUCUGAGCGACUGCAAAUUUAAGAAGCCGAACCCAGUCAAGCGAGAGAGAGAGAGAAGGAGAAAGGAAAGAGAACGACAGAAUAAGAGAGAGAAGAGAGAAUGAAAAUGUAAAUGCAAAGGAGAGAAGGAUAAAAUUUUGAAUAGAAUUAAAGAAAAAGUAGAAAAAGAAGAAUUGAAAACAGAAAGAAAGAAUGCGCUAACGAAAGAGACACUAGGAAAUAUAGAUAGAUAAAGAAGACUAGAAAGAGAAAAUGCAAUAAAAGUUAAUAAAGGUGAAUAGAGAGAAAAAGAAGAAGAUUGGAAGAUUUAAUAGAAAAUAUGAGAGGUAAAUAAAAACUAAAGAAUUAAUGAAAAGAGAAAUAUUGAGGGUAGAGAGAGUAAAAGAUAAUAAAGGAAGAUAAAUAGAAAAUAGAGGCAAAGAAUAAGAAAACAAUAUAGAGGCAGCGAGUAGAAAAGAGAAGAGACGAAACUAAAAUAUAUAGAUGAAAUAAUAUAACAAGGAAGAAAAUCGGAAACGAGAGUCGGAAAGGAACUCAAAACCUGAAACUGCCUAUUCACGAAACGAAACAAGAAACAAAUCAAACUACGGAAAAAGGAAUAGACGUGAGAGUCGGUAAAGAAGGAAAAGAAGGGAUCAAAGAGCAGGAGAAGUGACGAAAGAAGAAAAACGAAAAUAUUGAUAAAAACUUCUCGAACACAGAUAAAAUUGAAAAUCUCACCAACGAAACGCAGUAAAAAAAUAAAUAAUAAUGAGAUAAAUGAACGCGUAUCAGUAAGCAGACACUAAGAAGAAAAGCAAUAAAAAUAACAAGAAGAAGAAGAA
This is a long non-coding RNA of Eriocheir sinensis (Chinese mitten crab), 2467 nucleotides long. RefSeq lists it as uncharacterized. NCBI's taxonomy places the organism in Eukaryota, Metazoa, Arthropoda, Malacostraca, Decapoda, Varunidae. The transcript is spliced from 2 exons. The record is from RefSeq and is a predicted model, not a curated record.